Procambarus clarkii (red swamp crayfish) is the source of this 266-nucleotide non-coding RNA. NCBI's taxonomy places the organism in Eukaryota, Metazoa, Arthropoda, Malacostraca, Decapoda, Cambaridae. The record is from RefSeq and is a predicted model, not a curated record.
ACAGUGCCAGCACCGUCGGCCAACACCCAACACUCCUCUCCAGCUAACAGGAACCCGCUCGAAACAUGAUCGCUCUGGCUGUUGUGAGCUGCCUGCUGGUGGUCCUGGCCUCGGGGCUCCCCCAAGAACCUGCGAGCGGUCAUCUCCCUCAACCACAGUUCCACGCUGGCUUCACCCCUGAGGUGGAGCAAGCCACCAGUAACUUCCACGCUGCCUACAACUACCUGGCGGAGUUGGCCCUCCUGGCUCCAGACGACCCAACCACC